This 216-nucleotide long non-coding RNA is filed under the name Lupinus angustifolius (narrow-leaved blue lupine). RNAcentral describes it as "long non-coding RNA (LANG_LNC000283)". Lineage: Eukaryota; Viridiplantae; Streptophyta; Magnoliopsida; Fabales; Fabaceae. The record is from RNAcentral.
UUGAGAAGUGAGGCAUAUUUUUAGGCCACUAUUGGUCGCCCAGCCUCCCUUUUGGACCGCCCAACACCACAUGUUUUGACCCAUUGGGAAGCUAAGUUGGUUAGCCUAUCGUGGAUUAGGUUACAUGCAUGGUGACAUCUCCUACUUGUUUGUCAUGGCCUAUGUCAUGCAUGAGGUCAUGUGCUUGGUCUUGAAGUAAAGAUAUGGCAAGUUGCU